GACAGAGGAGGCAAGCGUUGUUCGGAAUCAUUGGGCUUAAAGCGCGCGUAGGCGGCCUUGUAAGUGACUUGUGAAAUCCCACGGCUCACCCGUGGAACUGCAGUGAAAACUGCAAGACUUGAGGUCGGUAGAGGCGCCUGGAACUCUAGGUGGAGCGGUGAAAUGCGUAGAUAUCUAGGGGAACGCCGGUGGCGAAAGCGGGGCGCUGGGCCGAUUCUGACGCUGAUGCGCGAAAGCGUGGGGAGCAAACAGG
This 253-nucleotide ribosomal RNA is filed under the name uncultured bacterium. RNAcentral describes it as "partial 16S ribosomal RNA". It matches the Rfam family "Bacterial small subunit ribosomal RNA", at positions 524 to 776 of the family's 1533-position model. The record is from RNAcentral.